AUACUUACCUGGCAAGGGGAGAUACCAUGAUCACGGAAGGUGGUUUUUUCCCAGCGGCGAAGGCUUAUCCAUUGCACUCCGGGAUGUGCUGACCCCUGCGAUUUUCCCCAAAAUUGGGAACUCGACUGCUAAUUUGUGGUAGUGGGGGACUGCGUUCCGCGCUCUCCCCUG
This 171-nucleotide small nuclear RNA is filed under the name Castor canadensis (American beaver). RNAcentral's name for it is "U1 spliceosomal RNA (ENSCCNG00000014732.1)". It matches the Rfam family "U1 spliceosomal RNA". From Rfam's summary of the family: U1 is a small nuclear RNA (snRNA) component of the spliceosome (involved in pre-mRNA splicing). The record is from Rfam by way of RNAcentral. Lineage: Eukaryota; Metazoa; Chordata; Mammalia; Rodentia; Castoridae.